GCCGGGAGUUAGUGGCGUGCUCCUGUAAUCCAGCUACUUGGAGGCCGGGUGCAGCGGAUGUUUCUGGUCGUGGGGUCCGGAUCGGAUUUGUCGUGGAUUUCGAGAGCAUUUCGAUAGUGCGAAUCGGGUGUUUUCGUCAACCUUCAGGGUUACGAGGGACUUUGUGCCGAUGUGUGGCAGUUCGAUUUCGAUUCUCCUCGGCCAAAUACGAAGAGACAGAUCUGUACCUAA
Molecule: non-coding RNA, 231 nt
Filed under: Pediculus humanus corporis (human body louse)
Lineage: Eukaryota; Metazoa; Arthropoda; Insecta; Psocodea; Pediculidae
Source: RNAcentral